AAGUCGUAACAAGGUCUCCGUAGGGGAACCUGCGGAGGGAUCAUUUCCGAAAGCGAGCGAGUGCGCAAGCACGAGCUUACAAAAGUUGGUUGUGUUCUCUAAUUUGAAAAGUGGGUUUGUUGUGGUAUUUGUGUGCUUCUUAAAACAAGUGCACAAACAUCCACAUCUUACAUGUCCAUUUUUUUAAAUAACAUGUAAUCAAAACAUCUUUAACUUGAUAGCUUAUUUUCUAUAAAAAAAUAGACAACUAUCAACGGCGGAUCUCUUGGUUCGU
Molecule: unclassified non-coding RNA, 274 nt
Filed under: fungal sp.
Lineage: Eukaryota; Fungi
Description: partial internal transcribed spacer region
Rfam family: Eukaryotic small subunit ribosomal RNA (bases 1-46)
Source: RNAcentral